CAGCAGUGGGGAAUAUUGGACAAUGGGGGGAACCCUGAUCCAGCCAUGCCGCGUGUGUGAAGAAGGCCUUUUGGUUGUAAAGCACUUUAAGCGAGGAGGAGGCUGUUCUAGUUAAUACCUAGGAUGAGUGGACGUUACUCGCAGAAUAAGCACCGGCUAAUUCUGUGCCAGCAGCCGCGGUAAUACUAAGGGUGCGAGCGUUAAUCGGAUUUACUGGGGGUAAAGCGGGGGUAGUGGGUUUUUUAAGUAGGAUGUGAAAUCCCUGAGCUUAACUUGGGAAUUGCAUUCGAUACUGGGAAGCUAGAGUAUGGGAGAGGAUGGUAGAAUUCCAGGUGUAGCGGUGAAAUGCGUAGAGAUCUGGAGGAAUACCGAUGGCGAAGGCAGCCAUCUGGCCUAAUACUGACGCUGAGGUACGAAAGCAUGGGGAGCAAACAGGAUUAGAUACCCUGGUAGUCCACGCCGUAAACGAUGUAUACUAGCCGUUGGGGCCUAUGAGGCUUUAGUGGCGCAGCUAACGCGAUAAGUAGA
Molecule: ribosomal RNA, 528 nt
Filed under: uncultured Gammaproteobacteria bacterium
Lineage: Bacteria; Pseudomonadati; Pseudomonadota; Gammaproteobacteria
Description: bacterial SSU rRNA
Rfam family: Bacterial small subunit ribosomal RNA
Source: RNAcentral